CCAAUCAUAAACCGUCAUUGUACACCCCAUUGGAUACGGUUCCUGAUUCAGCGAUUCUGGACUGCAAGCAGUUUCAACCGAACGAUGAGGAGAAGCUAUUUUACAAUCCAGAAACAGAUGUGUUAGACGAUCUGCCAUUCAAACAGAACACAGAAGAGGGGAAAGAAUGACAAUCUACUUCGAUUGAAUCUUGCUUGGUUCUAUUACUUUUAGCAGUCCACAAUCUGUCAAUUUAGCAUAUGUCCCUGUAUAUUCAUCACAGCAAUUUGAUGAAUGUAUGCGAUAAGAUAUGUAACAAUAAUACUUGGAAAAUAAAUGAAAACGUUAUUUUUCAGCUUGGUAUGUUUAGAAUAAUUCAUUGCAAAAAUAACACAUCAGGCAAUUUUUAAUUAACCGUUUUGCAAAUAGCAGAUUUAAUUGUUAUAAAAUUCGAAAAAAAGCUACAUAAAUUAUUGACAUAAAUUGUUGUUGUUUUCUUAUGUUUAAAUGCAUUUCUUAGUCUGGGUCUUAAGGAUGCCCAAGAUGGAUUGGAAUUUUCCAGACGACCUCACAUCUACUCAUCGAUAAUACUUCAAUUAGGUUCCAAAUACACCUGUAGGUAACAUCACUGGCAAACAACGACCAUUGGAAAACGCCU
Molecule: long non-coding RNA, 637 nt
Organism: Mya arenaria
Lineage: Eukaryota; Metazoa; Mollusca; Bivalvia; Myida; Myidae
Exons: 3
Source: RefSeq, a predicted model, not a curated record